AAGGAAUCCAGUUAACUGAAUGACAGUUGCAAGAGAAUAGAGAAUGUAGCACUGGCCUAAUGCAGUAAUGAGUCGCUGGUGUCUCCACAAUAGCGUCUCAUCCCACUCCUCAGACAUCCCGGCUCUUCUUUGCAUCCCUGCUUUUUCCUUCUUCUGAUCCUUCUGCUGUGAAUGUGGAAAUGUUCUUCUUACCCAUACAGCAAAGACAAAAGACAACCAGUAAAUGAAUGUUGGAAGAACACGUAAGUAAUCCCCCCAUGCUAUGUGAGCAAAGUAACUUCAGAAAGCAUUUGUUGAUGGAGACAUUGAGCCAGUUGUUUGGGGGUCUGGGAAUCGCCGCACAAACCACUCAGACACCAAUCUCAGUCAAAUAGGGAUAGUUUAUUGAAAGCCACACUCCAAAUUUGAUGUAUAAGGAC
RNAcentral lists this long non-coding RNA (419 nucleotides) under Mus musculus (house mouse). RNAcentral's name for it is "ilncRNA-EC29". Lineage: Eukaryota; Metazoa; Chordata; Mammalia; Rodentia; Muridae. The record is from RNAcentral.